This 253-nucleotide ribosomal RNA is filed under the name uncultured bacterium. RNAcentral's name for it is "partial 16S ribosomal RNA". It matches the Rfam family "Bacterial small subunit ribosomal RNA", at positions 524 to 776 of the family's 1533-position model. The record is from RNAcentral.
UACGUAGGGGGCAAGCGUUAUCCGGAUUUACUGGGUGUAAAGGGAGCGUAGACGGCGAUGCAAGCCAGAUGUGAAAGCCCGGGGCUCAACCCCGGGACUGCAUUUGGAACUGUGUGGCUGGAGUGUCGGAGAGGCAAGCGGAAUUCCUAGUGUAGCGGUGAAAUGCGUAGAUAUUAGGAGGAACACCAGUGGCGAAGGCGGCUUGCUGGACGAUGACUGACGUUGAGGCUCGAAAGCGUGGGGAGCAAACAGG